CCUUGUACACACCGCCCGUCACAUCACGAAAGUGGGCCGUACUAGAAGCCGGUGUGCUAACCGCAAGGAGGGCGAUUACCACGGCAGGGUUCGUGACUGGGGUG
Molecule: ribosomal RNA, 104 nt
Filed under: uncultured bacterium
Lineage: Bacteria
Description: partial 16S ribosomal RNA
Source: RNAcentral